Molecule: long non-coding RNA, 463 nt
Organism: Triticum dicoccoides
Lineage: Eukaryota; Viridiplantae; Streptophyta; Magnoliopsida; Poales; Poaceae
Exons: 3
Source: RefSeq, a predicted model, not a curated record
CAUCAGCAUCCAGCAGAAACCAUCGAUCGAUCGAUCGCCGGACACAGCAUCGAUUCUCCUCGCACACGCACAUACGGAUUCAGUCGAUCGAUAGAUAUACGUGAUGGAGAAUGAGAGGAACAACCAGGCUCCACCCCUACCCCCAGGCUACUACCCAUCCGCGGCUGCGGAGCAACGUCAAGGCGGCGGCGAAAAGGGAUUCAUCCAAGGAUGCCUGGCCGCGCUCUGCUGCUGCUGGAUCUGCGGCAUGUGCUACGACUAACUCGCCGGUCGCUGCCGGCACAAGACGUUGGUGCUAGUAUAGACCUAUGAAGAGCAUACACACAGAGAGACUCGUUGCUUAGUUAAGUGUUUGUUUGUUGUUUUAGGUAGUGCAAAAAAUACCCCGCAAAAAAAAAGUAGUGCAGAAAAUAACCGAGAACGCAUGCAUGAGUGGUGUCCAUGUAACUUACCGUGCGUAUCC